AGAGUUGUAGCUCAGUGGUAGAGUGCUUGCCUAAGGUGUGAAGCACUGGGUUCGAAACUCAGCACCUCCU
This 70-nucleotide transfer RNA is filed under the name Ictidomys tridecemlineatus (thirteen-lined ground squirrel). RNAcentral describes it as "Spermophilus tridecemlineatus (thirteen-lined ground squirrel) tRNA". It matches the Rfam family "tRNA". Rfam says of the family: Transfer RNA (tRNA) molecules are approximately 80 nucleotides in length. Their secondary structure includes four short double-helical elements and three loops (D, anti-codon, and T loops). Lineage: Eukaryota; Metazoa; Chordata; Mammalia; Rodentia; Sciuridae. The record is from Rfam by way of RNAcentral.